This 1529-nucleotide long non-coding RNA is filed under the name Anolis carolinensis (green anole). Its description in RNAcentral is "lncRNA (ENSACAG00000041923.1)". Lineage: Eukaryota; Metazoa; Chordata; Lepidosauria; Squamata; Anolidae. The record is from RNAcentral.
AUGAUCGUGCCUUCUAACCCUUCGUCUAAGUCGUUAAUAAAGAUGUUGAACAGAACCGGGCCCAGGACGGAGCCCUGCGGCACUCCACUUGUCACUUCUUUCUAUGAUGAAGACGACGCAUUGGUGAGCACCCUUUGGGUUCGUUCGCUUAGCCAAUUACAGAUCCACCUAACCGUAGUUUUGUCUAGCCCACAUUUUACUAGUUUGUUUGCCAGAAGGUCGUGGGGGACUUUGUCGAAGGCCUUACUGAAAUCCAGGUACGCUACAUCCACAGCAUUCCCUGUAUCGACCCAACUCGUAACUCUAUCGAAAAAAGAGAUCAGAUUAGUCUGGCAUGACUUGUUUUUGAGGAGGGCGAAUGUGGUCCCUAUCUUCAAGAAGGGAAAAAAGAACGACCCAAACAAUUACCGUCCGGUCAGCCUCACAUUGAUACCAGGCAAGAUUCUGGAAAAGAUCAUCAAGGAAGUGCUCUGCGAACACUUAGAAACAAAUGCGGUCAUUGCUAAUAGUCAACAUGGAUUUACCAAAAACAAGUCAUGCCAGACUAAUCUGAUCUCUUUUUUCGAUAGAGCUACAUCCAUGGUAUUCCCGACAUCUACCCAGCUUGUAGCUCUAUUGAAAAAAGAGAUCAGAUUAGAAUGGCAUGAUUUGUUUUUUGUAAAUCUGUGUUGACUAUUAGCAAUUACCGCAUUUGUUUCUAAGUGUUUGAAGAGCACUUCCUUAAUUAUCUUUUCCAGAAUCUUGCUUGGUAUCGAAGUGAGGCUAACUGGAUGGUAAUUGUUUGGGUCGUCCUUUUUUCCCUUCUUGAAGAUAGGGACCACAUUUGCCCUCCUCCAAUCUGCUGCGACUCUCAAAAAUGAUUUCCAUUGGUUCCAAAAUAACUUCCGAUAAUUCCUUCAAUAUUCUUGGGUGUAGUUGAUCUGGUCCUGGAGACUUAAAUUCAUUUAGAGCAGCCAGGUAUUCCUGAAUGACUUCUUUCCCUAUUUGGGGUUGGAUUUCCCAUAAUCCUUCAUCCAUUGCAUGUUGCUGAGGUUGAGGCUGGCUUUCUUUUUGUGAGAAGACUGAGACCCUCAAUCACUUUCCAAAACCCAACAAAACCAUACACAUUAAUUCAAAGGAAGUCUCAUAUACUAUCUCAUUUCCCACCCCAAAGCCCACGUCGCUUCUAUCUAACCUUCCUCACUACACUAAACAAAACUAAAAAACAAUAAAAGCCCAGUCGUGGUACACAAUAAUAUUAAAAUAAAUUAGACAAAAAAAUAGAAAAACAGAUACGAAAAGACAAACAAGAUGGUGAGCCUGUGAUAUAUUGCCCCUAAGUCAGCACGGUUGCAUAGGGUUUAAUCACUUCCUUUUCCAACAACUUCCAGCCUUACAAACUCUCUCCAGCAAAUCUCUCCAAAUGGCCUCCACCGAUUUGCGGAGCGAGGGGCCCAAGCUAUUGCAGUUGAAGGCUGCCCCCCGGUUCAGCGGGGCAACAAUAGUAAAGUGGCCAACACACUCGAUUCGGCAGAUAGGACAAUAGGGCA